UACGAAGGGGGCUAGCGUUGCUCGGAAUCACUGGGCGUAAAGGGUGCGUAGGCGGGCCUUUAAGUCAGGGGCGAAAUCCUGGAGCUCAACUCCAGAACUGCCUUUGAUACUGAGGAUCUUGAGUUCGGGAGAGGUGAGUGGAACUGCGAGUGUAGAGGUGAAAUUCGUAGAUAUUCGCAAGAACACCAGUGGCGAAGGCGGCUCACUGGCCCGAUACUGGCGCUGAGGCACGAAAGCGUGGGGAGCAAACAGG
This 253-nucleotide ribosomal RNA is filed under the name uncultured bacterium. RNAcentral's name for it is "partial 16S ribosomal RNA". It matches the Rfam family "Bacterial small subunit ribosomal RNA", at positions 524 to 776 of the family's 1533-position model. The record is from RNAcentral.